Molecule: ribosomal RNA, 468 nt
Filed under: uncultured organism
Description: partial 16S ribosomal RNA
Rfam family: Bacterial small subunit ribosomal RNA
Source: RNAcentral
UACACUCCUACGGGAGGCAGCAGUGAGGAAUAUUGGACAAUGGGUGGAAGCCUGAUCCAGCCAUCCCGCGUGCAGGAAGACGGCCCUAUGGGUUGUAAACUGCUUUUAUCUGGGGAUAAACCUACUUACGUGUAAGUAGCUGAAGGUACCAGAAGAAUAAGCACCGGCUAACUCCGUGCCAGCAGCCGCGGUAAUACGGAGGGUGCAAGCGUUAUCCGGAUUUAUUGGGUUUAAAGGGUCCGUAGGCGGACUGAUAAGUCAGUGGUGAAAUCCGACAGCUUAACUGUCGAACUGCCAUUGAUACUGUUAGUCUUGAGUAAGGUUGAAGUGGCUGGAAUAAGUAGUGUAGCGGUGAAAUGCAUAGAUAUUACUUAGAACACCAAUUGCGAAGGCAGGUCACUAAGUCUUAACUGACGCUGAUGGACGAAAGCGUGGGGAGCGAAUAGGAUUAGAAACCCUAGUAGUCCC